Non-coding RNA from Malus domestica (apple), 815 nucleotides. NCBI's taxonomy places the organism in Eukaryota, Viridiplantae, Streptophyta, Magnoliopsida, Rosales, Rosaceae. The record is from RefSeq and is a predicted model, not a curated record.
GGCUUAAUAUUUUAAGCCCGCCUUUGAGGGGUUUCCUUAACGCAUCUUCUCCUCCAGCCCCAAUAUUCUGGAGUACUCUAGACGCACAGCUGCUGGUAGUAAGUGCAGGGUUUCGCCAUUUCUACCAGGUGGUAAGAGGCAAGAGCUUGUUCUUACAAUCGUGAGCAUGAAUGGAGGGAUGCGGACUUGCGCAAAGUUGUUGAGGGCUUCCGAAGCAGCGCUAUCGAAAUCAGGGACUAGAGGGUUCCACUCAACUGGAGUGAAAAGAAUGGGUGGACACGGCCACGAUGAACCAGCCUACAUGCAUGCCAAACACAUGUAUAACCUGGACCAGAUGAAAAACCAGAAGUUGCAGGUGAGCCUUGGAGUGCUCGCCGCCUUCAGCAUUGGCGUGGGUGUUCCGAUUUGGGCUGUCAAUUUCCAACAAAAGAAAACAUCAUCUGGUUGAGAUGGACGUACGCAGCAAUAAGAGACGCAGAACAGAGCGGUCCGUACGUUCUCUUGGAUCCAUUUGUCAUUUACUUCUCUUGUUAAAAACAACGAUACGAAGACAUUUCAGUUUUGGGGCAAAGGCAAUCCGAAGAAGGAGUUAUCAACUCUCCUCUCUCUCUUUCAUGGUCUUCUUACUUUUUGAAAGUUGGAGCAUGCAAUCAUGCAUUAGAUAGAAGUUCUUGUUUUUGUAACAAAAGUUUGAAUGGACCGAACUUAUUAAUCAACCGUGUUCCAUUCGAUUGGGUGUUUCUUCCAAGUGUUGGACAAGUUCUGUAUGCUCACAUUGACUCUAACAAUGGUUUUUGUUUGCUUGAGAUAUCUUA